RNAcentral lists this ribosomal RNA (481 nucleotides) under uncultured bacterium. RNAcentral describes it as "partial 16S ribosomal RNA". It matches the Rfam family "Bacterial small subunit ribosomal RNA", at positions 28 to 507 of the family's 1533-position model. The record is from RNAcentral.
GAUGAACGCUGGCGGCGUGCUUAACACAUGCAAGUCGAACGAAGCACUUUAUUUGAUUUCCUUCGGGACUGAUUAUUUUGUGACUGAGUGGCGGACGGGUGAGUAACGCGUGGGUAACCUGCCUUGUACAGGGGGAUAACAGUGGGAAACGGCUGCUAAUACGGAAUAAGGGCCCGGCAUCGCAUGAGGCAGGGGGAAAAACUCCGGUGGUAUAAGAUGGACCCGCGUUGGAUUAGCUAGUUGGUGAGGUAACGGCCCACCAAGGCGACGAUCCAUAGCCGACCUGAGAGGGUGACCGGCCACAUUGGGACUGAGACACGGCCCAAACUCCUACGGGAGGCAGCAGUGGGGAAUAUUGCACAAUGGGCGAAAGCCUGAUGCAGCGACGCCGCGUGAGCGAAGAAGUAUUUCGGUAUGUAAAGCUCUAUCAGCAGGGAAGAUAAUGACGGUACCUGACUAAGAAGCACCGGCUAAAUACGUG